This is a non-coding RNA of Epinephelus lanceolatus (giant grouper), 2346 nucleotides long. Lineage: Eukaryota; Metazoa; Chordata; Actinopteri; Perciformes; Serranidae. The record is from RefSeq and is a predicted model, not a curated record.
GCCAAGCGGUUCAUUUGUACUUAACUACGGAUUAUUUUCAGAUACAAUUGCAGCUACAGCCCAUCCACCAGAUCAGAGACCAACACGUGAUGUUUCAGAGCUUUCUUCCACAUACUGCACGGUGGGGCCUCACACUGGAACUGUGAGAUCCACAGAGACUAGAGACACAACUCUGCCAGAGAGCCUGUAUGCUCAGGUGGAAAAGUCGGCCAAGCCCUUAAAAAAAUAAUCAGGAAUUGUAUUUCACAAUCUGCACUUGCCACAAUUUCUAGUUUGUAUUUAAAUGUUGCCCAAGCUGUCGAUGUUUAUGUUUACCUGACCUGCACUGGUACGAAUAGACUGUAAAACACUGCAUCACACACAUUCAGAAGUUGCUCUCUGUGUCAGCUCAGCCAGAGAGAGACUCUCAUGUUCAACAGGCCCCAAAAUGUGGAAACAUUUGAAGGAGUUUUGGGUGUGUGCACUGGUGAGGACAUUUCCUUUCAAUGACUGAAGCACCAAUAUGGAACCACUGAACACUGACAAUAAUUCUCCGAUACGGUCAAGAUCAAUUUGGAAAAAGUGAGAAAAAGUGAACAAAUUUUAGUUACCCCUGGAGGUUCAAGCUUGAAUACCUGGGGUUGAGCCUUUAUCUCACUUAUUCACCUGUUCAGACGUUAACCUUAGCCUGUAUUACAGUAAAAAUGCAGUGCAGAAGUACUGCAACCAUUAUAAGACACACAGGAACCUCGCUGCAGUGACCACCUUUGAAACUCAGCUCAUAUGGUCUAAAAGCUUCAGAAGAAGAUCAUGAAUUUUGUGUCUAAGGAUGAUGGACAAAAUGAUGUCUCCUUCUUUAACAAGCUGUAGUAUACAGUGUGUAAAUGUGACUUUCAAGGUCUCACAUGAUUAUUGUGAUUUGAAGUGAUGUGCUGCAGGAUUUUUGUAUUAUUUUAUUGUAUUUUUUUAUGUUAUUCUUUAAGCUAUGUAAUAAAUGUGUGCUAUGUGGCAUAACUUUCAGCUAAUAGUAUCACAACCAAAGAUUGGGCCAUCGGAACAAAAUUACAUUUUCUUUACUGUUUAUUGUUUUUUUCUGAAGACUUGAAUUAAUUUAUUUUUGUGUGUUUACACCAUGUGUUUUGUUCAACAUGAGGCAAAUUAGUAAAACUAUAUAUAUAUAUAUAUAUAUAUAUAUAUAGCCUAUGUAUAUAUGUAUAUAUUCAGAUUUUUCAGUUUCUUAAAAAGAUACUUUUUUUUAACAUUUAGGCUAGUUAUUUAUACAGAUAUUAUAGGAAUAAUCCCAGUAGGCUUGGAAAGUGUGCUAUGCAAAGUUUGUAGCUGCUCUUAACAUCCACAGCAGAGAUUAUGCUGGAACAAGCUUGAAAGUGUCAUUAAAUGUUUUAUUUUUCCAUACAAAUAUAUUGUUUUGAAUUCAGUGUUUCAAGUGCGUUUCUUAUCACAGCAGCACUGAUCGAUUCCUCAGAGUUCAGUAUACCAGAGUGGAAAAAAAGUCAGUGACACAUGAUUUCCACCUUUAUUAAUUCAGAAAGUUACAAAACAUAUAAGAUGAGCAUAUAGCUUUAAUAAUAAUUGUCCUAUAAUGCUGCAUCUACCACAAACUGCUUUCACUAAAAUAAUAAGACAUGCUUGAACAAAUAAUGAACAUACAAAUGAACAAACACAUGCAUUUUUAAGAAUAUUGUAAGUAGGACCACAUUCAGUGUUACAUAUAAUGUACUGCUCAGUAUUUCUUGUAUGCUGUUGGCUGUGAUCUUACAAAAAUACAUCUUAUUUUUGUUGUUUUUUUCCAGGUAACAUCCUCCAAACAUUUUUAGCAUGAUCAUCUAUUUACAGUCCUUCUAUUUACAAAUUUGUCCAUGAGGUGAACAGUGAUGACGGCAGACACCAUGAUGAUCAGGCCAACAGAGAACACCACUGUCUUCACCAGACACACAGAGAUACCAGGAGAGAGACUCUCUGAAUCUGGAGAACAACAAAACAGGUGGUGACACAACAGAUCCAGACUGUGACACUGCAGCAACAAGUUUCAGGGGCUGACCUAUAUGUUCUGUAGUAUAAAUGACAAUGAAGGAGGCAAAUGUCACAUUCUGUGCCAAAUACAGAAAAACUGCAUUAGCAAAAAUAAAUACAACUUAUUUAUUGAAUUAUUAUUAUCAUUUGAUGUUCCUUCAUUCAUGACAUUUCUGUACUUUCUAGUUUUGUUUGUAUUCUCCCUCUACAGCCUGACAGGGUGGUUGAGUCAUGUGCAGAACUUAUUUAUCAGACAUUUUCUUCAAAAACAAACAAACAGACAAACAAAACGAUUAUUUUCUCAAAGUUUAGCCUAACUUCAGACAAUGUGUUUUA